Molecule: long non-coding RNA, 1445 nt
Filed under: Nicotiana benthamiana
Lineage: Eukaryota; Viridiplantae; Streptophyta; Magnoliopsida; Solanales; Solanaceae
Description: long non-coding RNA (NBEN_LNC036837)
Source: RNAcentral
CUCAACAUACUCAUGGUCAUUAUGCAAAUGAAUAACAAAAUUUGUUUCAAAAGAAAGAAACACCACAGCCUUAGCAAGCAGAGAGUUUCAAAAUGGGCCGACAUUCUACAGGGGGAAAAAAUACAUAGCUAGUUGUCCAGCAUUUCAUGUGCAAUUCAGUCCAAUAAGAGAAGUGGAGGAAAUGGAGGGAGAACAUUUAACACUCAUGGCAAAAAUGUCAAACCGCAGAGCCCUAACAGCUGCCUUAUUCAAGGAGAUCAGAGAGACGCAUCCACUAGUGCGAUCCUUCACCAACUUUCUGCCAUGAGAUGAACCAAAUCAGAUAAUAGAGAGAGAGAACUUCAUAUUUCAAGCUGUCUAAGAAUAGAUAAAUGUCCAUAUACACUAUGCACAUAAGGAGAGGUUUGCUAGGUUCAGUUAACACGCAUAAUACCUUAUUCUUCAUAAGUGAAGUAAGAUUUAACUACCAUAGACUAGUAAAACCAUAUGGGCAAUCAUUUGGUCUUUUAUUAUUAUGUCAAUUCUUUUUCAAAUUUCAAUCAGCUAACAGCAGGCAAAAAUAGAUAAAACAAUGGGUCUUAAAAUAUUACAUAAGGUUUUAAAGUAUUACAUAGGCAUAUAAAAUGGACAUAUAGGAAAUAAUGACACCGAUUAGAGAUCAUAGUAGAAAUAGAAAGUUAAAAUAUAUGCUUUAACAUUACCAGCAACAACAAAAUAUUUGAAUGAAGUUGUUCAACGUGAAAAGAAGUGUACCUCUCCCUUCUUCUCUUUGUUUCCCUUUGUGAAGAGCUUAUAACCUCCGUAGAAGGCCAAUCCCCAACCAGUAAGAGAGACGAUAAAUUAAGUUCCUAAUCAAACAUCAAAGUGUAUCAAGUGCAAAUCAUCUCCUGUUAUACACAGAGAUGUUAUCGCACCCAAUUGGAAAGAUUUCUAGUCAGUGAACUAUUGAAGUUACAGCCCAAAACAUUGGUGACUCACAACUGGAAGCCAAAGUUGUCGAAAAGUAUGGAUUUUGUCAAAUCUAAUAUGCACUAAUAUUGAAAGGAUACAUACAGCGAUCCAUGUAAUAUAAUAUUUUGCAGUGGUCUAGAAUAUAUAUCUUUAGAAGAGGUAAAAUAUCAUUCCCAAUGAGUAGUAAGAAAGAAAAUCAUUUCUCACAAUCACAAACCCAAAUCAUAAAGAGAACAAAAAUCCCCACCUAAACUUGUUGUCAACCAUGUUUAAGUGACCAUUAAAAUAAUUCUCUAUCUGACAUCUUACAUUCAAAGUUCCUACUAUUACUAAAGUACUCCUUUAGGAAAACGUUACGGAAUGCUUGGGUAAAAAACUCACAACAAAUUUUAGAAGUUUCAAUUCAAACGUCAAGCAAGCCGAUAAUGCCAAAGCCAACAAACAAGCAUAACAGUUCAGACAAGUAGAAAAGACAUUGCAAAGGUCUGAAAGAC